RNAcentral lists this ribosomal RNA (292 nucleotides) under uncultured bacterium. Its description in RNAcentral is "partial 16S ribosomal RNA". It matches the Rfam family "Bacterial small subunit ribosomal RNA", at positions 505 to 796 of the family's 1533-position model. The record is from RNAcentral.
GUGUCAGCAGCCGCGGUAAUACGUAGGGGGCAAGCGUUGUCCGGAUUUAUUGGGCGUAAAGAGCGUGUAGGCGGCCAGAUAGGUCCGUUGUGAAAACUGGAGGCUUAACCUCCAGCUGUCGAUGGAAACCAUCUGGCUAGAGUCCGGAAGAGGAGAGUGGAAUUCCUGGUGUAGCGGUGAAAUGCGCAGAUAUCAGGAAGAACACCCGUGGCGAAGGCGGCUCUCUGGGACGGUACUGACGCUGAGACGCGAAAGCGUGGGGAGCAAACAGGAUUAGAUACCCCGGUAGUCC